AGAGUUUGAUCCUGGCUCAGAGCGAACGCUGGCGGCAGGCCUAAUACAUGCAAGUCGAGCGGGUCCUUCGGGAUUAGCGGCGGACGGGUGAGUAACGCGUGGGAACGUGCCCUUUGGUACGGAACAACUGAGGGAAACUUCAGCUAAUACCGUAUGUGCCCUUCGGGGGAAAGAUUUAUCGCCAUUGGAGCGGCCCGCGUUGGAUUAGGUAGUUGGUGAGGUAAAGGCUCACCAAGCCUACGAUCCAUAGCUGGUCUGAGAGGAUGACCAGCCACACUGGGACUGAGACACGGCCCAGACUCCUACGGGAGGCAGCAGUAGGGAAUCUUGCGCAAUGGGCGAAAGCCUGACGCAGCCAUGCCGCGUGAAUGAUGAAGGUCUUAGGAUUGUAAAAUUCUUUCACCGGGGACGAUAAUGACGGUACCCGGAGAAGAAGCCCCGGCUAACUUCGUG
RNAcentral lists this ribosomal RNA (453 nucleotides) under uncultured bacterium. RNAcentral describes it as "bacterial SSU rRNA". It matches the Rfam family "Bacterial small subunit ribosomal RNA", at positions 8 to 507 of the family's 1533-position model. The record is from RNAcentral.